Molecule: ribosomal RNA, 374 nt
Filed under: uncultured eukaryote
Lineage: Eukaryota
Description: partial 18S ribosomal RNA
Rfam family: Eukaryotic small subunit ribosomal RNA
Source: RNAcentral
CAAUAGCGUAUAUUAAAGUUGUUGCAGUUAAAAAGCUCGUAGUUGAAUUUUUGCUUGCCCCCGAUGUCGGAACUUCCGUACGUUCGGGGGCGCGCAUCCUUGGGUGGAACCUGUGUGGCAUUAGGUUGUCGUGCAGGGGAUGCUCAUCGUUUACUGUGAAAAAAUUAGAGUGUUCAAAGCAGGCUUACGCCGUUGAAUAUAUUAGCAUGGAAUAAUAAGAUAGGACUUUGGUACUAUUUUGUUGGUUUGCAUACCAAAUUAAUGAUCAACAGGAACAGUUUGAGGAUAUUCGUAUGAACAUGUCAGAGGUGAAAUUCUUGGAUUUUGAUCAGACGAACUACUGCGAAAGCAUUUAUCAAGGAUGGUUUCAUUAA